RNAcentral lists this ribosomal RNA (1013 nucleotides) under Talaromyces coalescens. RNAcentral's name for it is "SSU rRNA". It matches the Rfam family "Eukaryotic small subunit ribosomal RNA", at positions 85 to 1106 of the family's 1831-position model. The record is from RNAcentral. Lineage: Eukaryota; Fungi; Ascomycota; Eurotiomycetes; Eurotiales; Trichocomaceae.
AACUGCGAAUGGCUCAUUAAAUCAGUUAUCGUUUAUUUGAUAGUACCCUACUACAUGGAUACCUGUGGUAAUUCUAGAGCUAAUACAUGCGCAAAACCCCGACUUCGGAAGGGGUGUAUUUAUUAGAUAAAAAACCAAUGCCCUUCGGGGCUCCUUGGUGAUUCAUAAUAACUUCACGAAUCGCAUGGCCUUGCGCCGGCGAUGGUUCAUUCAAAUUUCUGCCCUAUCAACUUUCGAUGGUAGGAUAGUGGCCUACCAUGGUGGCAACGGGUAACGGGGAAUUAGGGUUCGAUUCCGGAGAGGGAGCCUGAGAAACGGCUACCACAUCCAAGGAAGGCAGCAGGCGCGCAAAUUACCCAAUCCCGAUCCGGGGAGGUAGUGACAAUAAAUACUGAUACAGGGCUCUUUUGGGUCUUGUAAUUGGAAUGAGUACAAUCUAAAUCCCUUAACGAGGAACAAUUGGAGGGCAAGUCUGGUGCCAGCAGCCGCGGUAAUUCCAGCUCCAAUAGCGUAUAUUAAAGUUGUUGCAGUUAAAAAGCUCGUAGUUGAACCUUGGGCCCGUCCUGCCGGUCCGCCUCACCGCGAGUACUGGUCCGGAUGGGCCUUUCUUUCUGGGGAAUCCCAUGGCCUUCACUGGCUGUGGCGGGGAACCAGGACUUUUACUGUGAAAAAAUUAGAGUGUUCAAAGCAGGCCUUUGCUCGGAUACAUUAGCAUGGAAUAAUAGAAUAGGACGUGUGGUUCUAUUUUGUUGGUUUCUAGGACCGCCGUAAUGAUUAAUAGGGAUAGUCGGGGGCGUCAGUAUUCAGCUGUCAGAGGUGAAAUUCUUGGAUUUGCUGAAGACUAACUACUGCGAAAGCAUUCGCCAAGGAUGUUUUCAUUAAUCAGGGAACGAAAGUUAGGGGAUCGAAGACGAUCAGAUACCGUCGUAGUCUUAACCAUAAACUAUGCCGACUAGGGAUCGGGCGGGGUUUCUAUGAUGACCCGCUCGGCACCUUACGAGAAAUCAAAGUUU